RNAcentral lists this ribosomal RNA (253 nucleotides) under uncultured bacterium. RNAcentral describes it as "partial 16S ribosomal RNA". It matches the Rfam family "Bacterial small subunit ribosomal RNA", at positions 524 to 776 of the family's 1533-position model. The record is from RNAcentral.
UACGUAGGGGGCAAGCGUUGUCCGGAUUUAUUGGGCGUAAAGAGCGUGUAGGCGGCCAUACAGGUCAGCUGUGAAAACUCGAGGCUCAACCUCGAGACGUCGGUUGAAACCGUAUGGCUAGAGUCCGGAAGAGGAGAGUGGAAUUCCCGGUGUAGCGGUGAAAUGCGCAGAUAUCGGGAAGAACACCUAUGGCGAAGGCGGUUACCUGGGGUUGUUCUGACGCUGAGGAGCGAAAGCUAGGGGAGCAAACGGG